Molecule: long non-coding RNA, 446 nt
Filed under: Anas platyrhynchos platyrhynchos (common mallard)
Lineage: Eukaryota; Metazoa; Chordata; Aves; Anseriformes; Anatidae
Description: lncRNA (ENSAPLG00000024061.1)
Source: RNAcentral
CCCAUCAGCUUUUCUUUUUUAUUUUUUUUUUUUGUAUAUCAAAACAAAUGAUUUGAUAUUUACAAGGACAGAAUGUGGAAAAUGGUGUAUAGUUUUACAUCAACACUGACACUUAUACAUUAUUAUUGCAUUUGUCAGUGGCAUUUAGAGCAGUUGGCUUUUUGAAAUAAAGCAUGUAUUCAGUAGAGUAUCAUUAAGAGCAACUGAAUUGCCCUUCAUCUGUUUCUGGAGCUCUAAGGACUAAAAAGCAGUGUCUGGAAUCUCUAUCAGCAUCAGCUGCCUUUUUGUUUUGUUUUGUUUUGUUUUUUCUUACCUUUUGCAACCUUACUGUUUUGAACUGCCUUUUAGCUGGGCACAUUCAGUGUUUUUCCCUUGAUUAUCAAUCUAGUACUUGUUUCCCCACAUAAAUUGUGCCAACCCAGGAAACAACAUGCCUUGCAUUUCCU